CCUGAGAAACCUAAAAGAUCGAAUAAAGAGAUUCAUCGUUCAAUAUAAAAAAUAUUAAUAUAUAUUUUGAUAUAAUUUUUUUUUAUUUAUAAUGCUUUAUUGUAUUAUUUAUAAAUUAAAUUUUAUACAUAUAUAUAUUAUUUUAAAUUUUUUAUGUCGGCGUGCACUUCUCUUUUAGUAGAACAUUGUAACCCGUUAGAUAUUAAUUUACGGCCAUUAAUUGGGUAGCCUUUAAUUUUUGAAAAAAAAUUAAAGACCAAUAUAUGUGUUUCCUAAUUAAUUGUCUGACGGUAUUGAAUAUAAGUAUAAAGUCGCAAAAUUUUUAAAAUUUUAUGCGUUCUGACCCAUCGCAAGCACAAUUAUUCUUUUUUAGUUACGGAUUUAAAUGCCGUCUAUUAAAAAUAAUUAGCUGUUGGUAUAUAUAUAUGUAUGGUGUUCUUGAACAGACUUUUUAUACUAGUUAACAAUGCUUAUGAUUUGGGUAAUUUCAGGACCCGUCUUGAAACACGGACCAAGGAGUCUAACAUGUAUGCAAGUCAUUGGGAUUAUUUUUUAAAAAAAUUUAUUUUUUUAAAAAAUUAAAAAUUAAACCUAAAGGCGUAAUGAAAGUAAAGAUUAUUAUUUUAUAAUAAUUUAAGGGAAGAUAUUUAAUAUUUUGAUAUUAAAUCGCAUUCCCGGGGCGUCUCAUUUUUUUAAUUAAAAAGAG
RNAcentral lists this ribosomal RNA (706 nucleotides) under Lipolexis gracilis. Its description in RNAcentral is "partial 28S ribosomal RNA". Lineage: Eukaryota; Metazoa; Arthropoda; Insecta; Hymenoptera; Braconidae. The record is from RNAcentral.